This 465-nucleotide ribosomal RNA is filed under the name uncultured bacterium. Its description in RNAcentral is "partial 16S ribosomal RNA". It matches the Rfam family "Bacterial small subunit ribosomal RNA", at positions 28 to 507 of the family's 1533-position model. The record is from RNAcentral.
GACGAACGCUGGCGGCGUGCUUAACACAUGCAAGUCGAACGGAAAGGCCCCUUUGGGGGUACUCGAGUGGCGAACGGGUGAGUAACACGUGAGUAACCUGCCCUUGACUUCGGGAUAACUUCAGGAAACUGGGGCUAAUACCGGAUAGGAAUCCUUGCUGCAUGGUGGGGGUUGGAAAGCUUCGGCGGUUUUGGAUGGACUCGCGGCUUAUCAGCUUGUUGGUGGGGUAGUGGCUUACCAAGGCUUUGACGGGUAGCCGGCCUGAGAGGGCGACCGGCCACAUUGGGACUGGGAUACGGCCCAGACUCCUACGGGAGGCAGCAGUGGGGAAUAUUGCACAAUGGGCGGAAGCCUGAUGCAGCAACGCGGCGUGCGGGAUGACGGCCUUCGGGUUGUAAACCGAUUUCAGCAGGGGCGAAGCUUGUGGUGACGGUACCUGCAGAAGAAGCACCGGCUAACUACGUG